UGCGGAAGGAUCAUUGCCGACGCCCCGAACGGAACGACCCGCGAACCGGUUAUGCCAACGCACGCCCGGGGGGGCCGCGCGCCCCCGACGGCACAACAACCAACCCCGGCGCCAGUCGCGCCAAGGAAACGAAACGCGAGAGCGGGCCCCCGGCCGCCCGGCCCCGGGACCGGCCGGGGAGCCCCGCGCGGCAGCCAUGCCAACCGAGCAUGCGCAAAACGACUCUCGGCAACGGAUAUCUCGGCUCUCGCAUCGAUGAAGAACGUAGCGAAAUGCGAUACUUGGUGUGAAUUGCAGAAUCCCGCGAACCAUCGAGUCUUUGAACGCAGGUUGCGCCCGAGGCCAUCCGGCCGAGGGCACGCCUGCCUGGGCGUCACGCAACGUCGCCACCCACCCCACCGGGGGCGGGGCGGACGAUGGCCUCCCGCGAGCACCGGCUCCCGGCUGGCCGAAACACGGGCUUGCGGUGUCGACCGCCGCGAUCCACCGUGGACGACCCCAGAUCGCUCCAGCCCGGCCGCGAGCGAGUCGGCCGCCGACCGGCCCCGGGACCCGAACGCGCCGCGGGCGCUCCCGACGCGACCCCAGGUCAGGCGGGGACACCCGCUAGUUUAA
Molecule: ribosomal RNA, 615 nt
Filed under: Parkinsonia aculeata (Mexican palo verde)
Lineage: Eukaryota; Viridiplantae; Streptophyta; Magnoliopsida; Fabales; Fabaceae
Description: eukaryotic LSU rRNA
Rfam family: 5.8S ribosomal RNA (bases 221-376)
Source: RNAcentral